Long non-coding RNA from Ficedula albicollis (Collared flycatcher), 2077 nucleotides. The record is from Ensembl. Lineage: Eukaryota; Metazoa; Chordata; Aves; Passeriformes; Muscicapidae.
CGGGAAAUCUCCAGCAGGGAAUCUCCACCCGGAAAUCUCCACCAGAAUCUCCACUGGGAAAUCUCCACCAGGAAAUCACCAGGAAAUGUCCAUUGGGAAAUGUCCAUUGGGAAAUGCCCAUUGGGAAAUCUCCAGCAGGGAAUCUCCACCAGGAAAUGUCCACCAGAAUCUCCACUGGGAAAUUUCCACCAGGAAAUGUCCAUUGGGAAAUCUCCACCAGGGAAUCUCCACCGGGGAAUCUCCACCAGAAUCUCCACUGGGAAAUUUCCACCAGGAAAUGUCCAUUGGGAAAUCUCCACCAGGGAAUCUCCACCGGGGAAUCUCCACCAGAAUCUCCACUGGGAAAUUUCCACCAGAAAAUCACCAGGAAAUGUCCAUUGGAAAAUGCCCAUUGGGAAAUCUCCAGCAGGGAAUCUCCACCAGGAAAUGUCCACCAGAAUCUCCACUGGGAAAUUUCCACCAGGAAAUGUCCAUUGGGAAAUCUCCACCAGGGAAUCUCCACCGGGGAAUCUCCACCAGAAUCUCCACUGGGGAAUCUCCACCAGGGAUUUGUGUCUCUUUGUGUCUCUGGAGAAGCCAAACUCCCCGUGCAAGAGCUCAGGUUCCCCAACAGGGCUCGUGUUUUAGGAACUCAAUCCAUGGAGGGGCCAAAACCCCCCUCUGGGGCAGAACUGGAGCGACAGGAGCGGGGCUGGAAUCGUCACUGGGACACAGAAACCCAAAAUACCGGCGGGAGGGGCAGGCGCACCCUGGCAUGGGAAGGAGGGAAUUCCGGGGGAAUUCUGGCUGGAUUCUGGGGAAUGAGGAUAAAAGCCCCGCUGGAAANCCGGGGCCCCUCCUGUCCCUCAGUUCCUCAUUGCCUAACGAGGCUGAUUUAGAUUAUCUCGCUAAUGAGUCAUUAGAUUCUCGAGCUCGGGGCUCGUUAAGGAACCUUUGUCCCGCCCCCCCCCCCCCCCCCCCCCCCCCCCCUUUGUCCCGCCUCUUCCUUCCGGAAACCCGGGCCGCUUUUGGUGAGAACACCCAGAAUCUGGGGACAAACCCAUUUUCCAAAGUAUUCAUCUAUAAAAUAAUUAAGAAACUGAGGUUAAUUAGCCUCGAGCAGCCCCAGGUUUAAUUUCUAUUUGGUCCAGCUCCUCCCUGCUCUAAACUCUUUUCUCCCCCCAUGCUCUGUCCAGUUUUUAUUUAUUUUGGGGGUUUUUCCUCCCCAAACCCAUCCCGGGACGAAGCCGUUUGUGAUUAAUUAACCCCAGGGAACGUGAUUAAUUAACCCCAGCACGAGAGACUUUUGCUGGGGACGUGGCUCUGUGUCCCCUCCUGUCCCUCAAACCCUCCCCAGCUGCUGCUCAGGCAAACAGCUCGAAGGGAAUCCAGCCCAGAGCGGCUCAUUUUGGGCGGCUCUCAGUGGUCCUGGGGCGUUUCCAGCGUGGCGUGGGUUGGGACAACGUGGAUGCACUUUUUUUUCCUGGAUUUCACCCCAAUUUUCCUUGGGUUUCACCCCAAUCAGUGAUUUAAAGCUGGAGCUGUUUGUGCCCCGCCAGGAAUUGCGAAACUGUCGCUGCUGGAGUUGUUUUGAAAUAACCAAAAUCAGCCAAAAUUUUUUUCCCCCCCCCCCCCAGUUUUGGUCCUUUUCUCGCCCAGAUUUUUCCCUUCCACAACCCAGGGCUGGAUUUUGGGGUGUUCCAGUUUUAAUUCCCCCCAUUCAUCCCCCUCUGCUCCAGUCCUGGAAAAGCUCCUUUAAUUUGUCAGAUUUUGGGGGGUUUUUUUACCAUGAAAAUGUGAUUUUCUUUUUAUCACCCCUCUCCUCCUUCCCCUCUCCCCUCCCUCCUGCACCUCUCACACCACACUUGCAACAAACCCCUAAAACUAUCCCCAAAAUUAUUGUCAUUAUCACUGAAAUUAUCCCAAAUAUCGCUUUAUCCCUGAAACGUUUUUUUUUUCCCCCCCAAUCUCAUCUCCUGCAGAUCGGCCCCCCCCCCCCCCCCCCCCCCCCCCCCCCCCCCCCCCCCCCCCCCCCCCCCCCCCCCCCCCCCCCCCCCCCCCCCCCCCCCCCCCCCCCCCCCCCCCCCCCCCCCCCCCC